UGGGGAAUUUUGGACAAUGGGCGAAAGCCUGAUCCAGCAAUGCCGCGUGUGUGAAGAAGGCCUUCGGGUUGUAAAGCACUUUUGUCCGGAAAGAAAUCCUUGGCUCUAAUACAGUCGGGGGAUGACGGUACCGGAAGAAUAAGCACCGGCUAACUACGUGCCAGCAGCCGCGGUAAUACGUAGGGUGCAAGCGUUAAUCGGAAUUACUGGGCGUAAAGCGUGCGCAGGCGGUUUGCUAAGACCGAUGUGAAAUCCCCGGGCUCAACCUGGGAACUGCAUUGGUGACUGGCAGGCUAGAGUAUGGCAGAGGGGGGUAGAAUUCCACGUGUAGCAGUGAAAUGCGUAGAGAUGUGGAGGAAUACCGAUGGCGAAGGCAGCCCCCUGGGCCAAUACUGACGCUCAUGCACGAAAGCGUGGGGAGCAAACAGGAUUAGAUACCCUGGUAGUCCACGCCCUAAACGAUGUCAACUGGUUGUUGGGAAGGUUCCUUCUCAGUAACGUAGCUAACGCGUGAAGUUGACCGCCUGGGGAGUACGGCCGCAAGGUUGAAACUUAAAUGAAUUGACGGGGUCAUA
RNAcentral lists this ribosomal RNA (575 nucleotides) under uncultured bacterium. Its description in RNAcentral is "partial 16S ribosomal RNA". It matches the Rfam family "Bacterial small subunit ribosomal RNA", at positions 355 to 923 of the family's 1533-position model. The record is from RNAcentral.